RNAcentral lists this ribosomal RNA (635 nucleotides) under uncultured bacterium. Its description in RNAcentral is "bacterial SSU rRNA". It matches the Rfam family "Bacterial small subunit ribosomal RNA", at positions 892 to 1531 of the family's 1533-position model. The record is from RNAcentral.
GGCUUAAACUCAAAGGAAUUGACGGGGACCCGCACAAGCGGUGGAUGAUGUGGUUUAAUUCGAUGCAACGCGAAAAACCUUACCUACCCUUGACAUGCCAGGAACUUGCCAGAGAUGGCUCGGUGCUCGAAAGAGAACCUGGACACAGGUGCUGCAUGGCUGUCGUCAGCUCGUGUCGUGAGAUGUUGGGUUAAGUCCCGCAACGAGCGCAACCCUUGUCAUUAGUUGCUACGCAAGAGCACUCUAAUGAGACCGCCGGUGACAAACCGGAGGAAGGUGGGGAUGACGUCAAGUCCUCAUGGCCCUUAUGGGUAGGGCUACACACGUCAUACAAUGGGCGGUACAGAGGGUCGCCAACCCGCGAGGGGGAGCCAAUCCCUUAAAACCGCUCGUAGUCCGGAUUGUAGUCUGCAACUCGACUGCAUGAAGUCGGAAUCGCUAAUAAUCGCGGAUCAGCUUGCCGCGGUGAAUACGUUCCCGGGUCUUGUACACACCGCCCGUCACACCAUGGAAGUGGGGUUUACCAGAAGUAGUUAGCUUAACCGCAAGGGGGGCGAUUACCACGGUAGGCUUCAUGACUGGGGUGAAGUCGUAACAAGGUAGCCGUAUCGGAAGGUGCGGCUGGAUCACCUCCU